AAGUCGAGCGAACGGACGAGAAGCUUGCUUCUCUGAUGUUAGCGGCGGACGGGUGAGUAACACGUGGAUAACCUACCUAUAAGACUGGGAUAACUUCGGGAAACCGGAGCUAAUACCGGAUAAUAUUUUGAACCGCAUGGUUCAAAAGUGAAAGACGGUCUUGCUGUCACUUAUAGAUGGAUCCGCGCUGCAUUAGCUAGUUGGUAAGGUAACGGCUUACCAAGGCAACGAUGCAUAGCCGACCUGAGAGGGUGAUCGGCCACACUGGAACUGAGACACGGUCCAGACUCCUACGGGAGGCAGCAGUAGGGAAUCUUCCGCAAUGGGCGAAAGCCUGACGGAGCAACGCCGCGUGAGUGAUGAAGGUCUUCGGAUCGUAAAACUCUGUUAUUAGGGAAGAACAUAUGUGUAAGUAACUGUGCACAUCUUGACGGUACCUAAUCAGAAAGCCACGGCUAACUACGUGCCAGCAGCCGCGGUAAUACGUAGGUGGCAAGCGUUAUCCGGAAUUAUUGGGCGUAAAGCGCGCGUAGGCGGUUUUUUAAGUCUGAUGUGAGAGCCCACGGCUCAACCGUGGAGGGUCAUUGGAAACUGGAAAACUUGAGUGCAGAAGAGGAAAGUGGAAUUCCAUGUGUAGCGGUGAAAUGCGCAGAGAUAUGGAGGAACACCAGUGGCGAAGGCGACUUUCUGGUCUGUAACUGACGCUGAUGUGCGAAAGCGUGGGGAUCAAACAGGAUUA
Molecule: ribosomal RNA, 739 nt
Filed under: uncultured Staphylococcus sp.
Lineage: Bacteria; Bacillati; Bacillota; Bacilli; Caryophanales; Staphylococcaceae
Description: bacterial SSU rRNA
Rfam family: Bacterial small subunit ribosomal RNA
Source: RNAcentral